RNAcentral lists this ribosomal RNA (492 nucleotides) under uncultured bacterium. RNAcentral's name for it is "partial 16S ribosomal RNA". It matches the Rfam family "Bacterial small subunit ribosomal RNA", at positions 29 to 507 of the family's 1533-position model. The record is from RNAcentral.
AGUGAACGCUGGCGGUAGGCCUAACACAUGCAAGUCGAACGGCAGCACAGUAAGAGCUUGCUCUUACGGGUGGCGAGUGGCGGACGGGUGAGGAAUACAUCGGAAUCUACUUUUUCGUGGGGGAUAACGUAGGGAAACUUACGCUAAUACCGCAUACGACCUACGGGUGAAAGCAGGGGAUCUUCGGACCUUGCGCGAUUGAAUGAGCCGAUGUCGGAUUAGCUAGUUGGCGGGGUAAAGGCCCACCAAGGCGACGAUCCGUAGCUGGUCUGAGAGGAUGAUCGGCCACACUGGAACUGAGACACGGUCCAGACUCCUACGGGAGGCAGCAGUGGGGAAUAUUGGACAAUGGGCGCAAGCCUGAUCCAGCCAUACCGCGUGGGUGAAGAAGGCCUUCGGGUUGUAAAGCCCUUUUGUUGGGAAAGAAAAGCAGCAGGUUAAUACCCCGCUGUUCUGACGGUAACCAAAGAAUAAGCACCGGCUAACUUCGUG